CCUUAUCAUUUAGAGGAAGGAGAAGUGGUAMCAAGGUUUCCGUAGGUGAACCUGCGGAAGGAUCAUUGU
RNAcentral lists this ribosomal RNA (69 nucleotides) under Silene dianthoides. RNAcentral describes it as "partial 18S ribosomal RNA". It matches the Rfam family "Eukaryotic small subunit ribosomal RNA". The record is from RNAcentral. Lineage: Eukaryota; Viridiplantae; Streptophyta; Magnoliopsida; Caryophyllales; Caryophyllaceae.